GGGUGAGUAACACGUGGGCAACCUGCCUGUAAGAUCGGAAUAACCCCGGGAAACCGGGGCUAAUGCCGGGUAAUACUUUCUUUCGCAUGAAGGAAAGUUGAAAGAUGGAGAAGGGCUAUCACUUACAGAUGGGCCCGCGGCGCAUUAGCUAGUUGGUGAGGUAACGGCUCACCAAGGCGACGAUGCGUAGCCGACCUGAGAGGGUGAUCGGCCACACUGGGACUGAGACACGGCCCAGACUCCUACGGGAGGCAGCAGUAGGGAAUCUUCCGCAAUGGACGAAAGUCUGACGGAGCAACGCCGCGUGAACGAUGAAGGUCUUCGGAUCGUAAAGUUCUGUUGUUAGGGAAGAACAAGUACCGUGCGAAUAGAGCGGUACCUUGACGGUACCUAACGAGGAAGCCCCGGCUAACUACGUGCCAGCAGCCGCGGUAAUACGUAGGGGGCAAGCGUUGUCCGGAAUUAUUGGGCGUAAAGCGCGCGCAGGCGGUUCCUUAAGUCUGAUGUGAAAGCCCACGGCUCAACCGUGGAGGGUCAUUGGAAACUGGGGAACUUGAGGACAGAAGAGGAGAGUGGAAUUCCACGUGUAGCGGUGAAAUG
This 600-nucleotide ribosomal RNA is filed under the name Halobacillus trueperi. RNAcentral's name for it is "bacterial SSU rRNA". It matches the Rfam family "Bacterial small subunit ribosomal RNA", at positions 104 to 688 of the family's 1533-position model. Lineage: Bacteria; Bacillati; Bacillota; Bacilli; Caryophanales; Bacillaceae. The record is from RNAcentral.